UGCUGGAACUCACGUGACCACCGUGUCC
RNAcentral lists this small RNA (28 nucleotides) under Bombyx mori (domestic silkworm). RNAcentral describes it as "piRNA piR-bmo-1569608". Lineage: Eukaryota; Metazoa; Arthropoda; Insecta; Lepidoptera; Bombycidae. The record is from RNAcentral.